RNAcentral lists this transfer RNA (72 nucleotides) under Capillimicrobium parvum. RNAcentral's name for it is "tRNA-Trp". It matches the Rfam family "tRNA". Rfam says of the family: Transfer RNA (tRNA) molecules are approximately 80 nucleotides in length. Their secondary structure includes four short double-helical elements and three loops (D, anti-codon, and T loops). Further hydrogen bonds mediate the characteristic L-shaped molecular structure. tRNAs have two regions of fundamental functional importance: the anti-codon, which is responsible for specific mRNA codon recognition, and the 3' end, to which the tRNAs corresponding amino acid is attached (by aminoacyl-tRNA synthetases). tRNAs cope with the degeneracy of the genetic code in two manners: having more than one tRNA (with a specific anti-codon) for a particular amino acid; and 'wobble' base-pairing, i.e. permitting non-standard base-pairing at the 3rd anti-codon position. The record is from RNAcentral. Lineage: Bacteria; Bacillati; Actinomycetota; Thermoleophilia; Solirubrobacterales; Capillimicrobiaceae.
GGGGGACUGGUGUAUCGGUAACACGGCGGUCUCCAAAACCGCAACGCGAGGUUCGACUCCUCGGUCCCCCGC